UACGAAGGGGGCUAGCGUUGUUCGGAUUUACUGGGCGUAAAGCGCACGUAGGCGGAUUGUUAAGUCGGGGGUGAAAUCCUGGAGCUCAACUCCAGAACUGCCUUCGAUACUGGCAAUCUCGAGUCCGGAAGAGGUAAGUGGAACUCCUAGUGUAGAGGUGGAAUUCGUAGAUAUUAGGAAGAACACCAGUGGCGAAGGCGGCUUACUGGUCCGGUACUGACGCUGAGGCACGAAAGCGUGGGGAUCAAACAGG
Molecule: ribosomal RNA, 253 nt
Filed under: uncultured bacterium
Lineage: Bacteria
Description: partial 16S ribosomal RNA
Rfam family: Bacterial small subunit ribosomal RNA
Source: RNAcentral